Long non-coding RNA from Acyrthosiphon pisum (pea aphid), 1381 nucleotides. RefSeq lists it as uncharacterized. The record is from RefSeq and is a predicted model, not a curated record. Lineage: Eukaryota; Metazoa; Arthropoda; Insecta; Hemiptera; Aphididae. The transcript has 2 exons.
UUACUGAUUUUUAUUUCAACAAAUUUUUUUCUACCCAAUGCCGAUAAUUCAUGUUUUGUAUUCGUAUUUACUAUUUAAUACUUCAGUUUUUUGUAGUCACUAGUCAGUACCUAACUGCGUGAUAACGAUAUUAAUUACGAUUCAUUGGGUAACAAGUCGAAUGUGUGUACCUACUGCUAACAGUGCAACGAAUCGAAAUUCAUAAUUUAUAAUAAAUGUGUUUGCGUGCAUUGUUACAAUUAUUAAUCAGUUCAUUACGUUUUUGAAACCGCUCAUAAUAUACAUAACACUAUUAUAAUGGCCGUGGACAACUUGAAACAGUUUGUUUUCCGCAACAAGGAAGUUCUCAUGUUUAUAGUGGGAUUUGGAGUGAUGCACAUCGGCUGGUACAACUUGCAGCGUAACAAUACCUUGAAUAAAGCAAUAGCAGCGUCUCGUGAUAAAGAAACUAUUAAGGAAUAUAAGCGAUUAGAACGUGAGAUUAAUGCAAAUUGGUCAGACAAAUCUUCUUCACAACAACAGCAUCAACCUCAAACAUCUGGUAUAAUAUUAUCUUCUGCAGCAUCAUUUACAGAAAAAUCUCCUAAUACUCAUUAAUUGUACAUAUAUUAAUCUUAAAAACAGUUCAUUUGUGAUUUAAUUAUAUAUAUAUAUAUAUAUAUAUAAUAAUGAAUAGUUAUGCAAAAAAAAAUAUUUCUGUUUGUGAAAAAUAUAAGAAUAGCAUUAUUUUUAGUCAGGAACUAAGUACUAACUGUGACUUAAAAAUGUAGACUAAAAUUGUAUUUAUUAUAUUGUGAUAUAAAAAUGUUUUCUAGUCUCUAAAAUGAUAAUUAUGUAACAAGUAUAAUAGAUUGCUAUUCUAAUAUGCUUAUUCAAUAUUCAUGUAUGUAUAUAUAUAUAAUAUAUUAUGUAGAAACAAACUGAAAUAUUAUUUUACUACUUAAUAGUUAAUUUUUCAUUGAUUAAUAUUGUAACUUGUUUUCUUUACUGAUAUUAUAAUGUUAACAUCAUAAUAGAUUUAUAGAUUAGAAGUAUUUUGAUAAAUUAUAACAUAAAACAAUAAUAUAUAAAAAAUAUCAAAAAAAAUAUUUUUCACAUUUUAAUUUUAAUUAAGAAUGCUAAAAUAUUGAGUGAAAUGUAUUGAAACAAUAUCCUUCUAAAAUGUCACUUAUCAUUAAUUUUGUUAAGAUAUGGUUUCCCCACAACGCCUAGAUGCAGUAGUGCUAUUUUACCACUACUUGACGCUAGCUAUGUCUGGACCAGUACAAUAUACUGUUAUGUAAAGCAAGUUUUUUUAUUAUAAAGAAAUUAACUUAGAUGUAUUAUUUUUCAAUUCAAAAUAAAGGUAGAAACAAACUAAACAAUUAAACACCUUACAAAA